GGUGAGAUGGCCGAGCGGCUAAAGGCAGCGGUUUGCUAAACCGUCGGGCAAUAAACAUGCUCCGGGGGUUCGAAUCCCUCUCUCACCGCCA
This 91-nucleotide transfer RNA is filed under the name Desulfonema magnum. RNAcentral's name for it is "tRNA-Ser". It matches the Rfam family "tRNA". Rfam says of the family: Transfer RNA (tRNA) molecules are approximately 80 nucleotides in length. Their secondary structure includes four short double-helical elements and three loops (D, anti-codon, and T loops). Further hydrogen bonds mediate the characteristic L-shaped molecular structure. tRNAs have two regions of fundamental functional importance: the anti-codon, which is responsible for specific mRNA codon recognition, and the 3' end, to which the tRNAs corresponding amino acid is attached (by aminoacyl-tRNA synthetases). tRNAs cope with the degeneracy of the genetic code in two manners: having more than one tRNA (with a specific anti-codon) for a particular amino acid; and 'wobble' base-pairing, i.e. permitting non-standard base-pairing at the 3rd anti-codon position. Lineage: Bacteria; Pseudomonadati; Thermodesulfobacteriota; Desulfobacteria; Desulfobacterales; Desulfococcaceae. The record is from RNAcentral.